GCCCCUCUAGCUCAAUGGAAGAGCAGUGGACUUUUAAUCCAUUGGUUCAGGGUUCGAGCCCCUGGGGGGGCACCA
This 75-nucleotide transfer RNA is filed under the name Ilumatobacter sp. RNAcentral describes it as "tRNA-Lys". It matches the Rfam family "tRNA". Rfam says of the family: Transfer RNA (tRNA) molecules are approximately 80 nucleotides in length. Their secondary structure includes four short double-helical elements and three loops (D, anti-codon, and T loops). Further hydrogen bonds mediate the characteristic L-shaped molecular structure. tRNAs have two regions of fundamental functional importance: the anti-codon, which is responsible for specific mRNA codon recognition, and the 3' end, to which the tRNAs corresponding amino acid is attached (by aminoacyl-tRNA synthetases). tRNAs cope with the degeneracy of the genetic code in two manners: having more than one tRNA (with a specific anti-codon) for a particular amino acid; and 'wobble' base-pairing, i.e. permitting non-standard base-pairing at the 3rd anti-codon position. RNAcentral also lists the same sequence under 3 other names. The record is from RNAcentral. Lineage: Bacteria; Bacillati; Actinomycetota; Acidimicrobiia; Acidimicrobiales; Ilumatobacteraceae.